This 500-nucleotide ribosomal RNA is filed under the name Fusarium redolens. RNAcentral's name for it is "eukaryotic LSU rRNA". The stretch from base 135 to 288 matches the Rfam family "5.8S ribosomal RNA". Lineage: Eukaryota; Fungi; Ascomycota; Sordariomycetes; Hypocreales; Nectriaceae. The record is from RNAcentral.
CUCCAACCCCUGUGACAUACCUUACUGUUGCCUCGGCGGAUCAGCCCGCUCCCGGUAAAACGGGACGGCCCGCCAGAGGACCCCUAAACUCUGUUUCUAUAUGUAACUUCUGAGUAAAACCAUAAAUAAAUCAAAACUUUCAACAACGGAUCUCUUGGUUCUGGCAUCGAUGAAGAACGCAGCAAAAUGCGAUAAGUAAUGUGAAUUGCAGAAUUCAGUGAAUCAUCGAAUCUUUGAACGCACAUUGCGCCCGCCAGUAUUCUGGCGGGCAUGCCUGUUCGAGCGUCAUUUCAACCCUCAAGCCCUCGGGUUUGGUGUUGGGGAUCGGCGAGCCUUUCUGGCAAGCCGGCCCCGAAAUCUAGUGGCGGUCUCGCUGCAGCCUCCAUUGCGUAGUAGUAAAACCCUCGCAACUGGAACGCGGCGCGGCCAAGCCGUUAAACCCCCAACUUCUGAAUGUUGACCUCGGAUCAGGUAGGAAUACCCGCUGAACUUAAGCAUAU